RNAcentral lists this ribosomal RNA (449 nucleotides) under uncultured bacterium. RNAcentral describes it as "partial 16S ribosomal RNA". It matches the Rfam family "Bacterial small subunit ribosomal RNA", at positions 29 to 523 of the family's 1533-position model. The record is from RNAcentral.
AACGAACGCUGGCGGCAGGCUUAACACAUGCAAGUCGAGCGAGAUCUUCGGGUCUAGCGGCGGACGGGUGAGUAACGCGUGGGAACGUGCCCUUUUCUGCGGAAUAGCCUCGGGAAACUGAGAGUAAUACCGCAUACGCCCUUUUGGGGAAAGAUUUAUCGGAGAAGGAUCGGCCCGCGUUGGAUUAGGUAGUUGGUGGGGUAAAGGCCUACCAAGCCGACGAUCCAUAGCUGGUUUGAGAGGAUGAUCAGCCACACUGGGACUGAGACAUGGCCCAGACUCCUACGGGAGGCAGCAGUGGGGAAUCUUAGACAAUGGGGGCAACCCUGAUCUAGCCAUGCCGCGUGAGUGAUGAAGGCCUUAGGGUUGUAAAGCUCUUUCAGCUGGGAAGGUAAUGACGGUACCAGCAGAAGAAGCCCCGGCUAACUCCGUGCCAGCCGCCGCGGUAA